GUUGCUUUGGUUUCUUGUUAUCAUUUAUGGUUCAUAGCUUUCCUUAAUUUACCAAUUUUGCCAUGUUUUAUGUUUAUUCCCUCUAUGUGUUUGAUGAAAUGCCAAUCUUAGUUAUCGGGUGGAUUUUCACCCUUUGGCUUGGGGGAAUGAGUUUAUGGAUUACUAGAGCCAUAAUGUCCAACAUUUAGUGAUAAUUCUUGGGGAGUUAGUUGAUUCUUGUUUCGAUUAAAGCUAGCCUUUUAUCAACUAGUUUAGUAAGUUGGUUAGGACUUAUGGAUUAAGGUUAAUUGUACUUGCUUGACUUACUUCUCGAUGGUUGGGGUUGACUAAGCGAGAGUAACUCAUGAUAAUUAUCAUAGUUGUGGUUAUGGCAAGGAAGGGAUUCCAUAAUUCAUCCUAAGUCAAUGUUUCUUUUAUGUUUUGAACCACCUUUCCAUUACUUUAUAGCAUUACUUGUUUAUGUUACAUACAUAGUUCUUUUGUUCUUUCAUUAAGUUUAUUAAUUUCAAAUUUUGUCUUGUUCUUUUAUUUCUUUAUUGUUUGCUUCUUUUAUUGAAAAAACCCCCUUGCUUUCUCACAACCAAAAUUGUGCACUUGUUGGCAUUAGUUCCUAGGGAGAACGACCCAAGGUUGAAAGACUCUCGAUUUAGAUUAGAAAUUGUAAACUUUGAUCGAGCAUUACUUGUUGGUUGAGAACUAUACUUGCAACGAGGUUAUUUCUCCUUUACCGAGAAGGAAUUCUUAACCGACGAUUUUGCUCGCACCAGUGAACAACUUAGCGACUAAGCUUUCUUUUUUCUUUUUCUGAGUUCUGACUGAAUAGAAAAAAUGUACGUUGCUUUUGGUGAGAUCAAAUUGGAAGGGUUUGAAUGAUAAAAGCAAUCGGGCUUGGAUCGGGUUUGAUUUGCUUGGCCUGUCUGAUUCAUUUUGCUUUACUCCUUGGAGAAUUCAGCUUGAUAGGGAUGACUUGGGCUUGGAUUAUAUUCACUUACCAUUCAGCCCUUUUUGAAUUCCUUGCUCAAUCAAUUUGGAUUUAAGUGAGUUAUAGCCCGUUUAUGUUUCUGGUUUGAUCUCUAUCCUAUUGGGCUACUGAUGCCAGAGAAUUUUGGCCAGUUUCACUGACCUUUUCUUUACUGUUUUUAGGGUAGUUUCAUGUAUUUCCUUAGGAAAUAAGCUGGUUUUGGGUAGAUAUUCACUUACAUCUUGAUUCAAGCAUGCAUUGUGCAAUUUACAUGAUUUCAUGAGGAUUUUGCAUGAAUUUAAAGACUUAACCUAGUUAACGUGGAAGCUAACGUGAAGAAAGAAGGUGAUCGCCAACGUUAGUGACACCCAACAUUGUCACUAACGUUGGAAGGAGCCCACACACGCCACCAUGAGCCACGUUAACUCCCACGUUAACUUAGUUAACGUGGAAGCUAACGUGGAUAAGGGAAUGUUGAACCAACAUUAGUGACACUCAACUUUGUCACUAACAUUGGAGAUGGCUAGCAUAGGCCACGUUAGAAGCCACAGACUCUAACGUGGGAGCUAAGGGGCACAUUGGAACGUUAGUGACAAUGUUAAGUGUCACUAACGUUCUCGAAGGUUGGCAAGCCUACGUUAAAAGAGCCAUGUUAACUAAGUUAACGUGGACUCUAACGUUGGGAAGGGGGAGGCUUCUCAACGUUAUUGGGAAAGUUGAGUCCCAAUAACGUGCGUGAAGGACAAAGGGUUUGAUAUAUUGCAUCACUCACACUAACUGUAAUUCUGACAGAUAUACUUUUUGCACCUAUUCUCUUUGCUUGUACUUAUUGGGUGUAUGACAGGGAGAAGAAGUGGGGCUUCAACUUUCUUUGAUUCUGAACCUGAGAGAACCUUCCUUAGACUAAGGAGGGAGGCAAGAGAAAAACGUGUAGUUGGUGCUGAAGAAGAGGAGGAACACUUUGAGGAAUACUUUGAACCAAACAUGGAAGAAAACAUGGAAAACCAUCAUGAAGAAGAGGCUCACAACCAUGGCGGAAGAGGUCGAGCAAAUCAUGCUGGGGAGGAUAGAAGAGUUUUAGGCUCUUACAUCAAUCCAAACCCAGGAAACUGUGGAAGUAGCAUUCAAAAGCCAACCAUCCAUGCCAACAAUUUCGAACUAAAACCACAGCUCAUCACCCUUGUUCAGAACAACUGUUCGUUCGGAAGAAGUGUCCAAGAGGACCCCAAUCAACAUCUAACCACCUUCCUGAAAAUAUGUGACACAGUGAAGUCUAAUGGUGUUCAUCCUAACGCCUAUAGACUGCUCUUAUUUCCAUUCUCACUCAAGGAUAAGGCAACCAAGUGGCUGGAAUCUUUCCCAAGGGAGAGCUUGACAACUUGGGAAGAUGUGGUGAACAAAUUCUUAGCAAGAUUUUACCCUCCUCAACGAAUUAAUAGGCUGAGUGCUGAGGUCCAAACUUUCAAGCAACAAGAUGGUGAGACUUUAUAUGAAGCAUGGGAGAGGUUUAAAGACCUAACAAGGAGGUGCCCACCCGAUAUGUUCAAUGAAUGGGUGCAGCUGCACAUUUUCUAUGAAGGGCUCUCUUAUGAGUCGAAGAAGGCCGUAGACCAUUCAUCUGGAGGAUCUUUGAACAAGAAAAAGACCAUUGAGGAGUCCAUAGAUAUCAUUGAAACAGUAGCAGAGAAAGACUAUUUCUAUGCUUCCGAAAGAGGGAAUACAAGAGGAGUAAUAGAGCUAAACAAUGUAGAUGCUCUGCUGGUCCAAAAAAAGGUCAUUACCCAGCAGCUGGCUGACCUCACCAAGAAGAUGAAGAGGAACCAAGUAGCAGCAAUCUCCACUUCAUCAACAACCCAAGAAGGAGUGAAUGAAGAAGCAGAGGGUAGUCAGGAGCAAGCCAACUACAUUGGGAAUUCACCUAGGCAAAACCAUGAUCUAUACUCCAAGACCUACAACCCUGGAUGGAGGAAUCACCCAAACUUUGGGUGGGAAAAUCAACAAGACCAAAGCCUUGAUCAAAGACGCCCAAAUCCAAACAAUGCAGCCACCCAACACUUCACAUCUGGACCAUAUCAACACCCCCAUAACAACAGCUCUCCAUAUUCAUAUCAAGGCCAGAAUAACCUUCCUCAGCCUGACCUAUCAUCAUUUGAUGAAAGAAUCUCAAAGAUUGAGAAUCUACUUGAAGGCAUAGGCAAAGAGAUUCAAGAUAGUAAAGCGUUCCGAGAAGAGGUGAUGUCCAAUAUGCAGAAUCAGGAUGCUGCCAUCAAGAAACUGGAGACACAGUUUGGCUACUUAUUCAAGCAAAUUCCAAGCCACAACCUUCGCAGCAAGACUAGCUCAACACGAAGGGAGGAGUGCCAGGCUAUCACCUUUAGAAGUGGGAAGGAACUGAAGAAAACCUCUCAGAAACCACAAGAAAAGGAAUCAGAUAAAGAGGAAGAAGAGCAAGAUGGAGCUCAAGUUCCUAAUUUGAGUUCACAAAAAGGGGAAGGAGUGCUUAAGCCAGAUGCCCCAAGAGUCCCAUACCCUCAACAAUUAAAGAAGAAGGGGGAUGACAAUCAGUUUUCGAGAUUUUUGGAAAUCUUCAAGAAACUGCAAAUCAACAUACCCUUUGCUCAAGCAAUAGAACAAAUGCCACUCUACGCCAAGUUCUUGAAGGAGCUCAUGACUAAGAAGAGAAGCUGGAAGAACAACGAGACUGUGAUACUAACCGAAGAAUGUAGUGCUAUCAUUCAGCACAAACUACCCCAGAAAUUGAAGGAUCCCGGGAGUUUUCAGAUCCCCUGUAUUAUAGGGGAGAUCACAGUGGAAAAGGCUCUUUGUGACUUGGGAGCCAGCAUCAAUUUGAUGUCGGUAGCUAUGAUGAGAAAGAUGAAGAUUGAGGAAGCUAAACCAACAAAGAUGGCCUUACAAUUGGCAGACCGAUCGUUCAAGUUCCUGCAUGGCGUCGUAGAAGAUUUGCUGGUAAAAGUGGGAGAUUUUAUCUUCCCAGCAGACUUUGUAGUGCUGGACAUGCAGGAGGAAGCCAAGGCCUCCAUCAUCCUGGGAAGGCCAUUCUUGGCUACUGCUGGAGCUUUCAUUGAUGUACAAAAAGGAGAUCUCACCCUGAGAUUACACAAUGAAAAGAUGACGAUCAAUGUGUUCAAAGCCAUGAGUUACCCACCAGAGCAAAUGGGAGAGUGUAUGAGGUUGGACUCACUUGAAGACGCAGUGUAGGAAAAUUUUGAAGAAGAAGAACCUGAAGGUAUAAUAGAGGAGGAGCCUAUGUUUAGUGAAGAGAUUGCAACAGCAGAGAUUCAAAUACAAGGUGCACCAAAGAAAGAGAACGAAAAGUCAGAAGCACCCAAACUUGAACUCAAAGCAUUGCCACCCUCUCUCAAAUAUGCAUACUUAGGAGAGGAUGAAAAUUACCUAGUAAUUAUAAGCUCAUGCCUCAGCCAAGAUCAAGAGGAUGAACUGCUCAAAGUACUGCGAAACCAUAAAGAUGCCAUUGGUUGGACUCUUACUGACUUGAAGGGGAUAAGUUCGGCCAUAUGUAUGCACAAGAUACUGCUGGAAGAUGAUGCCAAACCAUCCAUACAAUCCCAAAGGAGGUUGAACCCAAUCAUGAAGGAAGUGGUACAGAAAGAAGUUAUGAAGUUAUGGUAGGGAGGGGUAAUUUACCCGAUCUCAGACAGCCCUUGGGUCAGCCCCGUACAUGUUGUCCCAAAAAAGGGAGGAAUUACCGUGGUUCCCAAUGAGAAGAACGAACUAAUUCCUACAAGGACAGUCACAGGAUGGCGGAUGUGCAUAGACUACAGGAAGCUCAACGAGGCUACGCGAAAAGAUCAUUUCCCCUUUCCAUUCAUGGAUCAGAUGUUGGAAAGACUCGCAGGGCACGCUUAUUAUUGUUUUCUCGAUGGUUAUUCAGGAUAUAACCAAAUAGUGGUUGAUCCCAGAGAUCAAGAGAAAACCUCAUUCACUUGCCCAUAUGGAGUGUUUGCCUACAGGCGCAUGCCAUUUGGGCUAUGUAAUGCACCUGCGACUUUCCAACGCUGCAUGCUUUCUAUCUUUUCAGAUAUGAUAGAAAAAUUCAUUGAAGUUUUUAUUGAUGACUUCUCGGUAUUCGGAGAUUUCUUUCCUAGUUGCCUACAUCACCUCGCCUUGGUAUUGAAAAGAUGCCAAGAGACCAAUCUGGUCUUGAACUGGGAGAAAUGUCACUUUAUGGUGACAGGAGGAAUAGUCCUUGGUCAUAAAGUUUCUAACCAAGGCAUUGAGGUUGACAGAGCCAAAGUAGAACUUAUUGAAAAACUGCCCCCACCCAGUGAUGUCAGGGUAAUUAGGAGCUUUUUAGGGCAUGCUGGUUUUUACAGAAGGUUUAUUAAAGAUUUUUCAAAGAUAGCCAAGCCCUUAAGCAAUCUCCUUGUAUCAGAUACACCAUUUAUCUUUGAUGAAACAUGCAUGUUAGCCUUUGAAAAUUUGAAAAUGAGGUUGUCCUCUGCUCCUAUCAUUUCCCCACCUGAUUGGAAUUUACCAUUUGAAUUGAUGUGUGACGCAUCUGAUUUUGCAAUUGGGGCAAUGUUGGGACAGAGGAAAGAUAACUUAGUCCAUGUGAUAUAUUAUGCGAGCAAAGUCCUUAAUGAUACUCAAAGAAAUUAUACCACUACUGAAAAGGAAUUGCUGGCAAUAGUUUUUACAUUUGACAAGUUUAGAUCAUACCUCAUUGGUGCUAAAGUGAUUGUUUUUACGGAUCACACAGUACUUAAAUAUUUGUUUGCCAAGCAAGAAUCAAAACCAAGACUAAUAAGAUGGAUCUUAUUGUUGCAGGAAUUCAAUAUUGAGAUCAGAGACAAGAAAGGAGUGGAGAACAAGGUAGCAGAUCACCUAUCUAGGAUUCCUCAUGAUAAAGGUGGAACACCUGAUACAAGUGUGAACGAGUUCUUCCCUAAUGAGCAGUUAAUGCUAGUUCACAAAGCACCAUGGUUCGCAGACAUUGCAAACUUCAAGGCAACUGGGGCAUUGCCUCCAGAGAUCAAUAAACAUCAAAAAAGGAAGCUCAUGAAUGAUGCAAAGUACUUUGUCUGGGAUGAGCCAUAUCUAUUCAAGAAGUGUUCAGAUGGAAUCCUUAGAAGAUGUUUUUCAGAAGAAGAAAGACGAGAGGUCCUAUGGAAUUGCCAUGGCUCAUGCUAUGGAGUCCACUUUGGAGGGGAUAGAACUGCAGCUAAGGUGUUACAAAGCGGAUUCUUUUGGCCCACCCUUUUCAAGGAUGCCAAAGAACUAGUAAAGAGCUGCAAUGAAUUCCAAAGAUAUGGAAACUUGCCCAAAAGAAAUGAGAUGCCACAAAAUUUCAUCUUGGAACUGGAAUUGUUUGAUGUUUGGGGAAUCGAUUUCAUGGGACCAUUCCCAAUCUCAUAUGCAAACAAAUACAUCUUGGUAGCAGUGGAUUAUGUUUCCAAGUGGGUAGAGGCUAUUGCAACCCUAACGAAUGAUAACAGGGUAGUCAUGAACUUCCUCAAGAAGAAUAUCUUUAGCCGGUUUGGAGUCCCACAAGCGCUUAUCAGUGAUGGAGGGAGCCAUUUUUGUAACAGACCACUAGAAGCUCUUCUCCUACGAUAUGGGGUAAAACACAAUGUAGCCACGCCCUACCAUCCCCAAACAAGUGGACAAACUGAGAUAUCCAACAGAGAACUAAAGAGGAUCCUGGAAAAGACUGUGGGUGCGUCAAGAAAGGAUUGGUCGAAGAAGCUGGAUGAUGCUCUUUGGGCAUACAGAACAGCAUUCAAAACACCACUUAGAAUGUCCCCAUACCAACUAAUGUAUGGGAAGGCUUGCCAUUUACCACUGGAGCUGGAGCACAAGGCUCUUUGGGCUAUCAAGAUACUAAAUUUUGACAGCAUUGCUGCUGGUGCAAAGAGGAUCUUGCAGCUGCAAGAGAUGGAGGAAUUCAGGUCACAAGCCUAUGAAAAUACCAAGAUGUAUAAAGAGAAGGCAAAGAGAAGACAUGACCUGCAUCUUGCACCCAGGAGUUUCGAAAAGGGGCAGCGAGUACUCCUUUACAAUUCCAAAUUGAGACUAUUCCCAGGAAAACUCAAAUCAAGGUAGUCCGGACCUUUUCUUGUCACAAAAGUUUCGCCAUAUGGACACAUCGAAAUCAUGGAUGAAGGGUCAGAGAGGACUUUUACAGUGAACGGACAAAGACUCAAGCAUUAUCUGAGCAACAUGGGGGAAAACCCCAGAGUGAAUUACCAUCUCAAGUAAAGGAGGAACCUCGAGCUAGCGACGAUAAAAGAGCGCUCUGUUGGGAGGCAACCCAACCUCAGGUAGUUUCCUUUUCAUCUUUAUUUCAAUAAGGAUCGCAAGUUGUUUCCCCUGUAUUGCGAGGAGCUAAGUUUGGUGUUCCACACCAAAACAAUUCAAGAGUGAAAGUGUGAUUCUAAGUUUGGUGUUCUACCAAAAGAAUCACACUCCAUUCCAAAAGCAUAUUGCUAGCUCCAACCAAUCAAGGGAAACCACUUAGAUGUAGUUAGACUUUAGUAAUAAUUGUUGUGUUAACAACAAGAUAUGAGGUUCUCUGCAUAUAUGCAAGGUUUUGUACUAGGCAAGGAACUAAGUUUGGUGUUCACACACCAAAUUAAGUUCAUGCAAGCUAACUAUGUCGCAAGUGCUGUGGGAACAAGCAACUUUCAAUUACUUUGCAGGAAUCUUAUAAGGAAAUGGUGCACCUUCACCCAAGGAAGUGAAGUAGCGAGAACUAGGAUGAUGACAAAGAAAGAGGGCAACUAGAAAUCAUCACUCGAAGGUUGCAUUGUUACUUAAUUCCAUUAUACUCAGAAUUGUGGAAAAUUGGAAGUCCGAAUGCACUUUUGAUUAAUAGUUACUCGUAGUUGGAACCUUUUUCAAUUCCGUCUCUUAAGUUUUGUGUUGAAGAGGUCUAUGCUUGUUGGUCUUUAUGUCACUGCAUCCUCUCUUUGCUUAAGUGUAUGAUUGUCCCUUUGAAUCAAAUGAAAAAGAGAAUGAGUAUUUUUAAAGACCAGAGAGGAGUUCAUACUAUGGAGUGAGUUCAUGAGUUUAUGGUAUAGUCAUAAGUUAGCUAAGUUGAUUCAACCAUAAGGUGGGAGGACAACUAUCUGUCAUGAAUACUAUGCUUGAGACACACCCCAUGAGACUAGAUAAAUAAGAAGAUCCUAAUAAGAAAAAGGGAAAAGAACAAUAAAGGUUAAAAAAAUAAAAGAAAAAGAGUAAGCAAUAAGGCUAGGCACCAAUGAUUUUAAUCUUGAGGCAUGUGUCUGUGGUGUUCCUGUGUGAGGGAUCUACUUGGAUGAAUAAGCUCUUAGGGGUGCCUUAUCACUUGGUAACUUGGGUUAACUAACUCGGGAUUAUCAGCUGAAAGUCUACUAUCAAGAGUAACCCUCACUACAGAGCAUUUAGUAACCCAAAGAGGUGCUGGACACCAAGGUCUCAAGAAAAGAAAAUAAAUAAACUAUAUGCCUGUGGUGUGUAUGUAUGGGGGAGAGACUUGAGCAAGUAAGUUCUUAGGGGUGCUUCAACACCUAGCACCUUGAACCAACUGGUUCGGGAGUGUUGGCUGAAAGCUUAUUUUAAAGAGUUGCCCCCUUACAGAACACUUAGCCUAAGAACACAAAUAAGUCCUGAAAUAACAACAAAAGGAUCAAUCAAUAAAAGUUUCAUGGGAUGCAAUCACAGUGAGUAUUCUAGGACAUUAUAAAGGUCUGAAAGCCAGGAAUGAACCUAAGUUGCUAUACAUGAAACCACCAUAAAACCAAGGACAUGACUUCCACAAGAAUGAUUCAUUUCUCUUGGCAUUCCAUUCAUCAUUCUCUUGUUCCAGUACUUGCUUAGGGACAAGCAAGCUUUAAGUUUGGUGUUGUGAUGCCAGGGCAUUUUGGCCAGUUUCACUGACCUUUUCUUUACUAUUUUUAGGGUAGUUUCAUGCAUUUCCUUAGGGGGGAAGCCAACGUUAGUGACAUUCAACAUUAUCACUAACAUUGGCCAAGUCACACUAAGCCACGUUAACUCCCACAUUAACUAGGUUAACGUGGAAGCUAACGUGAGGAAGGGAGGUGACGCCAACGUUAGUGACACCCAACAUUGUCACUAACGUUGGAAGAAGCCCACACAUGCCACCAUGAGCCACGUUAACUCCCACGUUAACUUAGUUAACGUGGAAGCUAACGUGAGGAAGGGAGGUGACGCCAACGUUAGUGACACCCAACACUGUCACUAACGUUGGAAGAAGCCCACACAUGCCACCAUGAGCCACGUUAACUCCCACGUUAACUUAGUUAACGUGGAAGCUAACGUGAGGAAGGGAGGUGACGCCAACGUUAGUGACACCCAACACUGUCACUAACGUUGGAAGAAGCCCACACAUGCCACCAUGAGCCACGUUAACUCCCACGUUAACUUAGUUAACGUGGCUCUUACUUGGGUAAGGAACGUUAGUGAAAAAGUUGAAUAUCACUAACGUUCUCGAACCCAUAUUUUCACUGAACGUUAACACCACUAACGUCCUGAGCUAAAGUCUCUGCCCACUUCACAAUUUCUCUCUGCAAGUAAAGCCAAGCCCAAUGAAGAAGAUAACUGCUUCAAACUCAAGAUCCAAAGGCCCAGACCCAAGACUUGAAGAACCAACUAGAAGAGUAGAAGAGUAGUAUAUAUAGGAGUAACUUUGAAUUAAUUUGGGUGUUGGAAAAUAUAGGGAGCCUCUGAGUAUAGAACUACUCUCUGUAUUUUACUUUCUCUGCACUUCUAGUUUUCAUCAUGUAUUCUCCAUCUUUGUUUUCAUUUUCCAGAGCUAUGAACAACUAAACCCCUUUCAUUGGGUUAGGGAGCUCUGUUGUAAUUUGAUGGAUCAAUACUAGUUUUCAUUAUUCUUCUUCUAUCUUUUCUCUUGAUUUUACUUGAAANNNNNNNNNNNNNNNNNNNNNNNNNNNNNNNNNNNNNNNNNNNNNNNNNNNNNNNNNNNNNNNNNNNNNNNNNNNNNNNNNNNNNNNNNNNNNNNNNNNNNNNNNNNNNNNNNNNNNNNNNNNNNNNNNNNNNNNNNNNNNNNNNNNNNNNNNNNNNNNNNNNNNNNNNNNNNNNNNNNNNNNNNNNNNNNNNNNNNNNNNNNNNNNNNNNNNNNNNNNNNNNNNNNNNNNNNNNNNNNNNNNNNNNNNNNNNNNNNNNNNNNNNNNNNNNNNNNNNNNNNNNNNNNNNNNNNNNNNNNNNNNNNNNNNNNNNNNNNNNNNNNNNNNNNNNNNNNNNNNNNNNNNNNNNNNNNNNNNNNNNNNNNNNNNNNNNNNNUUCAUCUCUUCUCAUGAGCAAUUGACCAAAGAAUUGGCUAUUGAUCAAGAUUUGAGAGAUUGAAUUACAAGAAAUUGUAAUCCAAUCACUUAAGAUUGCCAAGGAGAUCAAUGAGUGCAUUGAUUGAGGAAGAGAUGAAAAUGAAAUUGAUCCGAAGAAUGCAACAUCUCUUAAGCCCAAUGAACUCCCCAUUUCUGAUCUUACCCAUUCUCUUUAUUUUCUGUCAUUUACUUUCAUGAGCAAUUCCCCCAUUCCCAUUUACAAUUCUGCAAUUUACUUAAGUAAUUUACUUUCAGUUCUUUAAUUCUAGCAUUUACUUUUUCUGUCAUUUACUUUCCCGCCAUUUUAUUAUCUGCAAUUCUAAACUCAAAUCCUGGAUUCGCUCAACUAGAACAUUCCUCUAAUUAAAGUUGCUUGAUCAAUCAAUCCUUGUGGGAUUCGACCUCACUCUAUUGUGAGUUUUUACUUGACGACAAAUUCGGUACACUUGCCGAAAAAAAAUUGUUAAGAGACAAGUUUUCCGUGCAUCAGCUGCUUCUUUCUUUCUUUUUGGCCUGCAACACUUAACCAAAACCAAUUAAAACUGAUUGGGUAAUUAGCCCAAUAAUCUAAUGUUUGUCAUCAUCAAUUAUGUUAGUUAAUUUCUUAACUCAACAAUCUCUCCCUUGAUGACAAACAUAAUUAAACAUUAACUAAAAGGAAUUGAAUUUUAAUGGAGUUGAGAAACUUCCCUUUGAAUGAUGUUUCUUGCUUAUGUGUUGCUCUCCCUUUCCUCUCUAAGAGUAGCUCCCCCUAGAUUUAUGCUCUAUUUUUGUUCCUGUUUACAUUAUACUUAUAGAGAGCACAAUAAAGAGCUACACAAAUUCAUCUUGACUAAGGGAGUUCAAACAAUCAUCACCACAAAUCCAGUCCAAUACUGAACAUAUCAUGUCAGCAACAAAGACAAAAUAUCAAGUUUAACAAUGGCAAACUAGCAACAUAUAUCUAAUAUCCAUGCCAAAAAAUCACAGCAGUAGCAAGAAAAUUGCAAAACAAAUUUUCAUGCCAAAACCAUUGUGGCAUCAGCAAUAAAAAAUCAAACAAAAUUCAUUAGCAGCAAUUAAAUUCACCCAAAAAAUUCACUGCCCAUGCUAUUACUCCGCCUUUUGUCAUCAAGGGUGGAGCAUAGUCAACAUCAAGUAAAAUCCGCACCUUAAAACCUGCAAGAAAGUGUUAAUGCACAGUCUAAAACACCAAAUUAAUUUAAAAUAAAUGCACCAGUUGUUAAGGUAUUACAGUUAUCCGAAAUAACAAAAGUAGUUCAAAGUUAACAAAAGAAAUAGUUUUUAUGAGACAAAAUGAGCAGACAGAGCAGCUUCAUGAGACAAAUCUAGGCAGCUGAACCAGUUCCAUCCGAAUCAGCUUCCUCUUCAACAUCAAUGGCAUGAUCUCCAUCUUGUUGAAGAUUAUCAAUGAAUUUCAUAAAUACAACCACUCUAUCCCUUAAUUUUCAGAGGAAAUUCUCAUGAUUGCUUGCUAGCUUCCUUUGUUUCUUAUUCAUGGCAAUCAUGUGAUUGGAUUGGGAGACAAACUCUUGGACCAUAUCCCUAACAACAUUGAACAGAGUAGAUUUUUGUCUAGUGGAGAUGGAGGUUCCUUCGGUGGAAGGUGGAGGAGAGUCCUCAGGGAAGAACUCAUCAUCUUCAUCAUCUAGAACCACUCUGUCAGAACGAGUAGGUCCUUUUACUGUUUCACUGCACCACCUCCCUUUAGAUAUGAAUUUCUAUUUUCAUAAUCCUCAUUGGACAAAUCAACACCAAAAUAUUAAAAAAUACAAGUUAGAAACAUGCCAUAAGGAAGGGCUUUGUCUUUCUCACUUCUAACAGAGUCAAACAUGUAUCUAACCAUCAAAUAAUCAAAAGAAAUUUCUGUUUUAGUGAGCAGGGCAUGAUAAACCACUAUUUUAUGGUUUAUCUUGUGCUAAAUUGAGUGGUUUUUAUUAGUUCUUUGCACACUUAUUCAUACAAACUGCAUGAUUUUACAAAUCCUUCCCAAUUUUGUUCUAUGAUUGAAAACUUGCUUCCUAAGCCUUUAAAUUGUCAAUUUUUAAUUCUCUUUUAUACCAUUCGAUGCCGUGAUCCAUGUGUUAAGUGUUUUCAGGCUUUAUAGGGCAGGAAUAGCUGAGAAGAUGGAAAGGAAGCAUGCGAAAGUGAAAGAAACACAAGAAACAAAGGAGCUAACCAGCGAGGAUCGACUUGGCACAAUUCACAGCGACGCGUACGCGUGACUGACGCAUACGCAUGACUGACGCGUACGCGUGACACACGCAGAAGACCAUUGACACGUACGCGUGAGUGACAUGUACGCGUGAUGUGCGUCACGUGCUGCAACUGUAGAAGACACUGGGGGUGAUUUUGGGCUGAGUUUAGACCUAGUUUUCGGCCCAGAAACACAGACUAGAGCUAGGGGACAAGCAGAGACUCAACACACAUUUACAUUCACUUAGUUUUAGUUUUUAGGUUUUGAAUCUUGAGAGAGAAAAGAGUACUUCCUCUAGGGUUCUUCGCAUUCUUAGAUUUUUAGUUUAUACUUUUGGAUUGGAUCUUGAGAGAAUUACUACCUCCGUUUGAAGUCUCUAUCAUUACAGUUUGUUUUCUUAUUUCCUUACUCUUUUAUCUUCCAUUCAGCUUGUUCAGAGUUACAUAUGGAUAUCUUUAAUUUUGGAAAGUAUUAAUGCAAGAGUUAUUUGUACAUUUAAAUUCAUCAGUUAUUUGAAUGUCAUCUUCCCUUAAUUUAUUAUUUCAAAAACAUUGCUUUUGCUAAAUUAAUUUUAAUUAUCAUGUCUCCUUUCUACUCCCUUUAGAUGUUUGCAAAAAUGGCAUCCAUGUCAAUGGAGUAUGCUCCUAACUUAUUUUGGAGUUGAUUAAUAGGAGACCCUUGAGUUGGAAUAAUCAAGUGUUAAUUUGUAAUUGGAAGUUGUUGGCUGACUCUCUAGUCACUAACUCUAAUCCUUCCCUAGGAGAGGAUUAGGAAUUGUGAAUCAAAGUUGGUUCAGUUACUUGACUUUCCUUUGUUCGGUAAAGGAUAACUAAGUAGAAACAACAACCUCUUACUAUUACACUUGGGGAAGUUCAACAAGGAUAGAACUUCCGAUUAAUCUUCUCCUAGUCAAGGCUUUUUAUUUUAAUUACAUAAAACCUCUCAUUAAUUUCCAUUGCUUUAAUUUAUAAUCAUUUAUUUUUCCAUUCUCCAACUCUAAAAUUUCUCAGAAAAUUCCUGAUCAAUAAAUUGCACUCUUUUGUCAACUCGUUAGGAGACGACCUGAGAAUUCUACUCCCAGUAUUUUAUUCUUAAAUUGUGAGAACUCUUUCUAAAUUGAUAAGCGUAAUUUUUGUCGGUUAAGAACUGUACUUGCAACGUUAUUUCCAUUAUAAAUUCUUAAUCGGUAAUUUUUCGCCCGUCAAUUUUUGGCGCCGUUGCCGGGGAGUUGCAACAGUGUGCUAAAUUAUUGGUUAGUGUAAAUAUUUUUAAAUUUACAUAUUUUCAUAUUUUAUUUUGUUUUAUUACCACGAGCUCUAUGUUUCUUUCAUUGAAUGACGCGUUCGUUACCGGAUCCGAGCUUAUCCGCGUUUGACCCUGAAAUCGAGAAAACUAUUUCCCGUGUUAGGCGAGCUCGGCAUCGGUUAGCCUCUGAGGGUGGUGAAGUGGUUACUACCAAAUCGCCAGUCCUAUCUGAGGGCGAAUCUGAAGCGCCAUUUGAGGAAGAAACAAGCUCCUCUUCUACUAAUUCUGUUGAUUGGCAAAAAGCAGCGUGCACGCGUACGCGUGGAUUGAAAAAUGCUGGAGCAGACGUUUGCAUGCCAACAUUGACACAAAUGCGGAUGACAGAGUCUAGGAGCAAUUUUUAACACUGCAACAUUACUAAAGCCCCAGUUAUACCCAUGGAUCAUGCAAGCAAGCCGAGCUCAUCAAUUAUCACUCAUCCAAGGCACAAGAAGGAUCUAGAUUGGGAAUUUUAAUUCAAUUAUAAUUUUCUCUUUCUUUUUUUGUAAGCCUAUAUAUAGGCAGUAGCUGGAUUGGAGAAAUCAUUCUGGAUUGGAGGGGAGUCCAGGAUCAUGCAUUCACAUCCCCUGACACACACCAUUCAUCACUCUUCUUUCUUUUCUUUUCUUUUCUUUUCUGUUUUUCUUGUAUUUUAGUUCUAGUUUGUAAUUUCCAUUAUGAAUUUGAAAUUUCAAUUCCAUUUCUAUUUCUUCAUCUUCUUCUUCUUUAUUCUGCACUUUCUUCCUCUCUAUUUAAUUAGAGCAAUGAACUAAACUAACUCUUUUCAUUGGGUUAGAGAGCUCUAUUAUUAUUUAAUGGAUCAAUUGUAAUUUUCAUCAUGCUUUCUCUGUCUUUUCUCUUGGUCUUACUAGAAAGCUUUCGAUCUUAAUUCAAUUGAAUAAUUGCCUCGACAGAGAAAUUGUUCAUAAUUGGAUUUCCUUGGAGCCUUGACAAAGGAAUGAGGAAAUCAUGCUAGAAAUUCUUUCUCACACUGGAUUAGGUUGGGGGUUGGAUGGAUAUAGUGACAUGUAAUCCUACCAAUACUUUUAUCUAUGAAUGUGUGUGGUAUAAUCAGUGACCAAGCUUCAUCUCUUCCCAUGAACAAUUAAACCAAGACAUUGGAAAAUUGUUCAAGCUUAGAGAGAUUGGUGAGCCAAGACAUUGGGAUCCAAUCACUUAAGAUUGCCAAGAAGAUCAAUGAAUGCAUUGAUUGAGGAAGAGAUGAGGAUGAACUUGAUCUGGAGAAUUUCAAUAUCUUUUGAUCCCAAUGUUCAUUUUAUUUUUCUUCAUUUAUUUUAUGUCAUUUACUUUCUGUACUUUACAUUUACGUCAAUUUACUUUUCAGCACUUUAUUGCUUUUAUUUACUUUUAUGCAAUUUUAGUUUUCUGCUGCUUAUCACUCCAAACUAAAUCGUCUAACUAGGCUAAUCUAUUAACUAUUGAUUGCUUAAUCCGUUAAUCCUCGUGGGAUCGACCUCACUCUUUAGUGAGUUUUACUACUUGAUAUGACCCGGUGCACUUGUCGGUAGUUAUUGCGCGGAAGUCUAUUUUUCUGCAUAUCAAGUUUAUGGCGCUGUUGUCGGGGAUUGAUUGUGAUUAACAAACUACCAGUUGGUUGGUUACCUAGAUUAGACAUUUUCUUUCUGUUCAUUUAAUUUCAGUUGCUUUUUAUUUUCUAUGCUCUUUGACUGUUUGUGUUAAUGCCUCACCAAGAAGCCCCUGUUUGUGACACCUCUAGCUCUUGGUGUUUGUGUUAUUAACAUAUAGAACCGUUUCUUUUAUUUAGCUUUCUUUCAAAUAAAAUUGGCAUAUAUGGUUACAUUCUAAGUUUGGUGUUGCCCUGCAACAACCCGUUUUCCAAUCUUUUUGGAUACUUGCCUCAAUUCUAAGAGAAAAUGUCACACUAAGUUUGGUGUGCCACUUAAUUUUUUUAUGCUAUGUAUUUAGCAACACCACUUGUUUAUUUAAUCAUAAUGCCUUUACUUCUUAGGCCUGUAGUGUUAUCUUUAAUUUUCACUUGCUUAACCAUAUACAUUACUCACAUUUCAGUAUUUAAGACAUUCAUGACCCAUCAUGAACCUCAUCACCACUAUUUUAAUUGUUGCUGGAGGAUAAGCAAUCAUCUUAAAUUGGUGUGGGAAGGGAGAAAAAUAGGAGAAAAAGGACAACAACAAUGAAGACGAACUACAAGGUGGUAAAGCUCUUUUUCCUCUUAUUUAUUUCCAGUAACUUAAAUUGCAUAAUUGUCUUCUAUUCUCUUUGUAUGUAUGUGUGAUUGCUCCUUGUGAAUAAGCAUAGUUUGAAUUGUGAAUUGUAACAUGCUGCAUGACAUCAUGACUGCUAUCUUGAAUUUUGUGAGUCCAAAGCAAUUUAGUUUCAUGAUCAUAAACAAAUAAGGAAGAAGUAGCAUGAGCAUAUAAGUAUUGGGAAGCUAGCAUGAUUAUUUUGUUGCUCAAUUGCGGUUGAAUUUAUUUAAAUUGAAGUUUUCAUCUAGCACAUUUUAUGAAACUUUUGAAAUCAUAAAAAUCUUGAACAAGCAAUUGCAAUUAAGGCAAGAAAGAAAAAGGGAAACAAUGAGAAAGCUGAAGGCUCUGAGUACCAAUGACAAUUCAAUUGUUAAGUACUUGUGGUGUUUAUGUAUCAAGCAAAAACCUUAAAAACAAAACACUUAGAGUCAAGGUUAGGCUCAAGUGCAAAAGCACUCGUUCAAAGCUAAAGGCUUUGAGCAUCAAUGAUUAGAGAGUCAAGAGGAUAAGAAACAAAAUGAGCUAAAAGAGUCCUCUGAUUAAAUGCUUGUGGUGCUUAUGUAUCAAGUGGUAAUACUUGAAAACAAAGCAUUUAGAGUUGUAGCUUUCAAAUCAUGGUGCAAAGCACCCAAAAAGAAUAAGCCAUAAACAGAAUGAAAAGCUUGUUCAAGGAAGAAACUUAAAAGAAAAGAUUUCAUAAAGUGAGCUAGAUAGAAGCAUCCAUCAUUUAAAUUUCUUCUGUAAUUGUUGCAUGCACAUAAAGCUAGCCAACCAUGAAUAUUACACUGCUACCCUUCUCACCUUAGUUUGUCAAACUUUAUUGCAUGAUUCUCUCCUUGCUUGGGACAAGCAAGAUUUAAGUUUGUUGCUGUGAUGCCAGGUCAUCAUAGCCUAUUUUUCUAUGCUUUUUCACUAAAUUUUAGUUUAAUUUUCAUACAAAUUUUGUUGAUAAAGGAGCAAAAGCAUGAAUAAUCUCUGCAUUAAGAAAAUCUCAAGCACGGGUAAAUUUUUUUAAUAUGCAGGGUAAAUAUGAUGGAAAUGAUCAAACUAAGUGAAGUUAUAAUUUUGAGCAUUAUUAGCACACUUAGUAGAGUAAAGAUUAUCCUGUAUGUUACUUUGAUACACUUGUUUGUUUGAAGAUAGGCUAAAUAGAAGCAGAAAAGCAGAGAAAAACAGAGUUGAAGAGCCAACGUUGAUGACAAAGUUUGAACAAAUGUUAGCAAUGAACCAAUGCUGUAAGGAAAAAUUGAAGAAGCAAUGUUGGAAGGAACGUUGGAGAUCCAACGUUAACCCCAACAUUCGCGACAAAGGAGCCUGAAAAAAAUUGCAGCCACGCGUAUGCAUCCCUCAUGCGUAUACGUGCUUGAUGAAGAAGUGGCAAACCACGCGUACGCGUUACCCACGCGUACGCGUGAAAAGGCCAACGUUGGAGGUAACGUUAGGGAGCAAACGCUGGGUCCAACGUCCGCGAUGUCAUCUGAUGAGCGGAUAAUUUAUACGCUUUUUGGCAUUGUUUUUAGUAUGUUUUUAGUAGAAUCUAGUUACUUUUAGGGAUGUUUUCAUUAGUUUUUAUGUUAAAUUUAUAUUUCUGGACUUUACUAUGAGUUUGUGUGUUUUUCUGUGAUUUCAGGUAUUUUCUGGCUAAAAUUGAGGGACUUGAGCAAAAAUCAGAUUCAGAGGUUGAAGAAGGACUGCUGAUGCUGUUGGAUUCUGACCUCCCUGCACUCAAAGUGGAUUUUCUGAAGCUACAGAACUCAAAAUGGCGCGCUUCCAAUUGCGUUGGAAAGUAGACAUCCAGGGCUUUCCAGAAAUAUAUAAUAGUUCAUACUUUGGCCGAGUUUAGAUGACGUAAAAGGGCGUUGAACGCCAAUUCUACACUGCUGUCUGGAGUUAAACGCCAGAAACACGUCACAAGCCAGAGUUGAACGCCAGAAAUACGUUACAAACUGGCGUUCAACUCCAAGAUUGACCUCUACAUGUGUAACAUUCAAGCUCAGCCCAAGCACAUACCUAGUGGGCCCCGGAAGUGGAUUUAUGGAUCAAUUACUUACUUCUGUAAACCCUAGUAACUAGUUUAGUAUAAAUAGGACUUUUUACUAUUGUAUUAGACAUCUUUGAUCAGUUUUAUGCUAUCUUAGACUUUCAUGGGGGUUGGCCAUUCGGCCAUGCCUGAACCAUUAUCACUUAUGUAUUUUCAUAUGGUAGAGUUUCUGCACUGCAUAGAUUAAGGUGUGGAGCUCUGCUGUUCCUCAGAGAUUAAUGCAAAGUACUACUGUUUUUCUAUUCAAUUCAACUUAUUCUGCUUCUAAGAUAUUCAUUCGCACUUCAACCUAAAUGUGAUGAACGUGACAAUCAUCAUCAUUCCCCCACGAACGAGUGCCUGACAACCACUUCCGUUCCACCUUAGAUUGAAUGAGUAUCUCUUGGAUCUCUUAAUCAGAAUCUUCCUGGUAUAAGCUAGAUUGAUGGCGGCAUUCAUGAGAGUUCGGAAAGUCUAAACCUUGUCUGUGGUAUUCCGAGUAGGACUCUGGGAUUGAAUGACUAUGACGAACUUCAAAUUCGCGAGUGCUAGGCGUAGUGACAGACGCAAAAGGAGGGUGAAUCCUAUUCCAGUAUGAUCGAGAACCUCAGAUGAUUAGCCGUGCUGUGACAGAGCAUUUGGACCAUUUUCACAAGAGGAUGGGAUGCAUCCAUUGACAAGGGUGAUGCCUUCAGACGAUUAGCCAUGCAGUGACAGCGCAUUGGACCAUUUUCCAAAGAGGAUAAAAAGUAGCCAUUGACAACGGUGAUGUCCUUACAUAAAGCCAGCCAUGGAAAGAAGUAAGAUUGAUUGGAUGAAGACAGCAGGAAAGCAGAGGUUCAGAGGAACGAAUGCAUCUCUAUACGCUUAUCUGAAAUUCUAACCAAUGAAUUACAUAAGUGUUUCUGUCCUUAUUUUCUAUCUAUUUAUUAUUUAUGUUCGAAAACUCCAUAACUAUUUUAUAUACUGAUAUUUACAAGGUGACCAUAGCUUGCUUCAUACCAACAAUCUCCGUGGGAUCGACCCUUACUCAAGUAAGGUUUAUUACAUGGACAACCCAGUGCACUUGCUGGUUAGUUGUAUCGAAGUUGUGAAUGAAAAACGAUUUAUUAAGACGUGCGUACAGAGUUUCUGGCGCCGUUGCCUGAGAUCACAAUUUCGUGCACCAUCAUCCCUGGGCAAAAAUUUGAUAUGACGCGUACGCGUGGGUCACGCGGACACGUCGAUUGGCAAAAAGCAGCAUGCACGCGUAUGCGUGGGAGACACGUACGCGUAGAUUGGAAAACGUUGGAGCGGAUGUUUGCAUGCCAACGUUGACGCAAACGCGGAUGAUAGAGUCUGGGAGCAAUUUUUAACACUGCAACAUUACUAAAGCCCCAAUUACACCCCUGGAUCAUGCAAGCAAGCCGAGCCAUCAAUUAUCACUCAUCCAAGGCACAAGAAGGAUCUAGAUUAGGAAUUUUAAUUCAAUUGUAAUUUUCUCUUUCAUUUUUUUGUAAGCCUAUAUAUAGGCAGUAGCUGGAUUGGAGAAAUCAUUCUGGAUUGGAGGGGAGUCCAGGAUCAUGCAUUCACAUCCCCUGACACACACCAUUUAUCACUCUUCUUUCUUUUCUUUUCUUUUCUUUUCUGUUUUUCUUGUAGUUUAAUUCUAGUUUGUAAUUUCCAUUAUGAAUUUGAAAUUUCAAUUCCAGUUCUAUUUCUUCAUCUUCUUAUUCUUUAUUCUGCACUUUCUUCCUCUCUGUUUAAUUAGAGUAAUGAACUAAACUAACUCUUUUCAUUGGGUUAGAGAGCUCUAUUAUUAUUUAAUGGAUCAAUUGUAAUUUUCAUCAUGCUUUCUCUGUCUUUUCUCUUGGUCUUACUAGAAAGCUUUCGAUCUUAAUUCAAUUGAAUAAUUGUCUCGAUGGAGAAAUUGUUCAUAAUUGGAUUUUCUCGGAGCCUUGACAAAGGAAUGAGAAAAUCAUGCUAGAAAUGCUUUCUCACACUGGAUUAGGUUGGAGGUUGGAUGGAUAUAGUGACAUGUAAUCCUACCAAUACUUUGAUCUAUGAAUGUGUGUGGUAUAAUCAGUGACCAAGCUUCAUCUCUUCCCAUGAACAAUUAAACCAAGACAUUGGGAAAUUGUUCAAGCUUAGAGAGAUUGGUGAGCUAAGACAUUGGGAUCCAAUCACUUAAGAUUGCCAAGAAGAUCAAUGAAUGCAUUGAUUUAGGAAGAGAUGAGGAUGAACUUGAUCCGGAGAAUUUCAAUAUCUCUUGAUCCCAAUGUUCGUUUUAUUUUUCUUCAUUUAUUUUAUGUCAUUUACUUUCUGCACUUUACAUUUACGUCAAUUUACUUUUCAGCACUUUACUGCUUUUAUUUACUUUUAUGCAAUUUUACUUUGCUGCUGCUUAUCACUCCAAACUAAAUCAUCUAACUAGGCUAAUCAAUUAACUAUUGAUUGCUUAAUCCAUUAAUCCUCGUGGGAUCGACCUCACUCUUUAGUGAGUUUUACUACUUGAUACGACCCGGUGCACUUAACGGUAGUUAUUACGCGGAAGUCUAUUUUUCUGCAUAUCAGGGAACUCGCUUCCUAACAGGAGGAGCAGUUGCUUAGUGUGCUGAGAAAACACAAGAAAGCUAUUGGGUGGAUCUUAGCGGAUAUAGUAGGCAUCAGCCCUCAAGUCUGUGAGCACCGUAUAUUUUUAGAAGAGGGAGCACGGCCUGUCCGUCAAUCUCAAAGGCGGCUGAACCCCACCAUUCUAGAGGUUGUCAAGAAGGAAGUGGCCAGACUGCUUGAAGCCGACAUCAUCUAUCUAAUCUCGGAUAGUGAAUGGGUCAGCCAAGUACAAGUGGUACCAAAGAAGUCUGGCGUCACAACAGUGAAGAAUGAGCAUGGGGAACUCAUGGCAACUAGAGUGUAGAACUCCUAGAUGGUGUGCAUUGAUUAUAGGUGCCUCAACCAGGCUACUCGCAAGGUUCACUACCCACUGCCAUUCAUCGAUCAAAUGCUUGAUCGCCUGUUAGGUAAAUCACACUACUAUUUUUUAGAUGGUUACACGGGCUAUUUUCAAAUUCAUAUAGCUCCUAAAGAUCAGGAGAAAACUACUUUUACAUGUCCCUUUGGAACGUAUGCAUAUAAGAGGAUGCCUUUUGGCUUAUGUAAUGCACCGGCUACGUUCCAAAGAUGCAUGAUGAGCAUUUUCUCAGAUCUUCUUGAGAACUGUAUGGAAGUUUUCAUGGAUGACUUUAGUGUGUAUAGUGAUUCAUUCAACCUUUGCUUGGAUAGUUUAGCUAGAGUAUUAGACAGGUGUGUUAGUUAAAACCUUGUAUUGAAUUUUGAAAAAUGUCAUUUUAUGGUAAAGCAAGGUAUUGUUCUAGGACAUGUUGUUUCUAAUACUGGUAUUUCAGUUGAUCCAGCAAAGGUAGAUGUCAUUUCUGGUUUACCUUACCCCUCCUCCAUGAGGAAAGUCCGUUCGUUUCUUAGUCAUGCAGGUUUCUAUCGGCGGUUUAUCAAGGACUUCAGUAAGGUAACAUUGCCUUUAUUCCGACUGCUACAGAAGGAUGUUGAAUUCGAGCUGAGUGAGGACUGCAUGGCAGCAUUUAAUAAACUGAAGAUCGCCUUGACUCAACCUCCGAUUGUGAGAGGGCCAAACUGGAGCCAUCCAUUUGAGAUAAUGUGUGACGCCUCCAACUAUGCAGUAGGAGUGGCGCUGGCUCAACGCGAAGGUAAGGACCCUUAUACUUCUAAGACCUUAGACGCUGCUCAGUCUAACUAUACUACCACUGAAAAAGAGCUUCUGGCUAUUGUUUUUGCUCUGGAUAAAUUCCGAGCCUACUUACUUGGUACUAAGGUGGUAGUAUACUCAGACCAUACAGCUCUAAAAUAUUUAUUAGCUAAAGAAGAGUCCAAACCAAUGUUAAUACGUUGGAUAUUGUUGCUUCAAGAAUUUGAUUUGAAAAUCAAAGAUAGGAGUGGUUCCCAAAAUUUAGUGGCGGACCACUUGAGUCGCCUUGAGCACCUUAAGAAUGAGUCUACUCCUAUCAAUGAUGCUUUUCCAUUUGAUAGCUUGCACGCAAUAUCUGAAGUAGUUCCUUGGUACGCACCUAUAGCUAAUUAUUUGGUUAGUCGUACCUUUCCUCCUAAUUUUAUUAAGCAUCAAAGGGACAAGCUUAAAAGCGAGUCCAAGUAUUCUAUAUGGGAUGACCCAUAUUUAUGGAGAUGUGGUGCUGACCAAAUAAUUAGAAGGUAUGUCCCACAAUCAGAAUUCCAGUCAAUUUUAGAGGCCUGCCACUCUUCUGAGAUGGUGGACAUUUUGGCCCUCAAAGAACUGCUAGAAAAAUUUUAGACUGUGGAUUCUAGUGGCUCACACUUUUUAAGGAUGCAACUGCUUUCUGUGAAUCUUGCUCCCCAUGCCAAAGAUUUAGGAAUAUAUCCAAGAGGGAUGAGAUGCCCCAACAACUUAUGUUGUUCUGUGAAAUUUUUUAUGUUUGGGGUAUUGACUUCAUGGGUCCAUUUCCGAACUCUAAUGGUUUCUUAUACGUAUUGUUAGCUGUUGAUUAUGUUUCCAAAUGGGUGGAAGCAAUUCCUACCUAUACUGAUGAUGCUAACACUAUUGUCUCCUUUGUUCGAAAUAAUAUUAUCAGUUGCUUUGGAUCACCACGAGCAAUCGUGAGUGAUCAAGGAACUCAUUUUUGUAACAGGAGAUUGACAGGUCUACUGAAGAAACAUGGCAUUGUUCACAAGGUGGCAACGGCUUAUCAUCCCUAGACCAAUAGGCAAGCCGAUGUGUCUAACAGAGAGAUAAAGCAUAUCCUGGAGAAGGUCGUCAAGCCUCAUAGAAAAGACUGGAGUACCAGGCUUGCAGAUGCGCUUUGGGCCUAUUGGACAGCGUACAAGACACCAAUCGGAAUGAGUCCCUUCCGUCUAGUUUAUGGAAAGGCUUGUCACCUCCGAGUGGAGGUAGAGCACAAAGCUUUCUAGGCGGUACAGGAAUGUAACAUGGGAUUGGAGAGAGCCAGAGCUAAAAGGAAGUUAUAACUACAGGAAUUAGAGAACCUUCGCCUAGAAGCAUAUGAGAACUCCAGGCUAUAAAAAGAGAGGGUGAGGGCUGUGCAUAACAAGAAUAUCAAGCGAAGAGAGUUUAGACCUGGGGAGUUAGUUCUCCUUUACAACUCAAGGUUGAGGCUCAUGCCAGGCAAGCUGAGAUCAAGGUGGGAAUGACCCUAUAGAGUAGAGAAGACAGAGUCAUACGGAGUCUUUCACCUGAGUCAUCCUUCAAGCUCCAAAUUCAUUAAAGUCAAUGGCCACCGCUUGAAGCUGUAUCAUGGUGAGAAAAUAAAGAACAAUAAGGAGUUGGAGAUCUUCCUCUUGGAGGAUCUACCAACAGAAGAAGACUGAGCUUGUGGACCGUCCAAUUUAAGGACGUAAAAGAAAAGUGCUAGGUGGGAGACAACCCACCAUGGUAUGAUUGUCCCAUUUUAUUCUUAGUUUUAUGUUGUUUUUAUCAGUGUUAAGUCAUAAAUUCUGCAUAAUCACCUACAUCCUGCAUAAAAAAAGAGAAGAGCUACGAUGCGCACUCGUCUAUGACGCGUACGCAUCAUGCGUGAAUGCCCAAAACAGGGAUCGAACAGAGAGUUACGUGGGAGUUGAGCAGGAACCGUGCUUUGCGCUCAAGCAAGUCUACGCAUACGCGUACCUCACACGUGCACGUCACUUGCAGUUUUGGCAACCCACGCGUACGCGUCUAGGACAGGCACGCGUGACCAUGGAAAUCGGCGUAAGUACGUGUUUGAAUAGAGAGUUGUGAUGGCCUGGCGCUGGAACUGUGCUAGAGGCACAAAAUCACUCACGCGUACGCGUGCCUGACGCGCACACGUCGUAUGCAAUUUUAGCCCCAGAACAGACUGAACAGAGAGUUGUGCGUGCACGUGGCUGGUCUCGCGCGACUAGCACGACCUACGCGUGCCAGACGCUUACGCGUCACCUUCAUUUUUGCGCAACCCACGUGUACGCGUGCGCGUCGCAUGCGCCGCAUCACUAAACCUGCGCACUGCCCAGUUUCAAUUAUUUCCUCCUCCCAAAUCCUAAUUCUCUUUCAAUAAUUCUUUCUUCUUUCUUCUCUCUUCUUCCUCUCUUCUUACUUCUUACUUCCUACUUCUUUCUUCUUCUUUUUUUAAUCUUCCUCCUCAGGUUUCUUUUCUUCCUCUCCUCUACUCUUUCAUUCUUCUUUCAUUUAUUGCAUUUAAUUAUUUUUUUCUUUCUUCUCAAUUUUAUAUUAGCUUAGUUAUUUAUGGUUUCUUUUUCUUCUUUUAUCAUACCUUUUUAUGUUGGUGUUGGAUCUUUAUUUGGGUAUUAUUUUAUUAUAUUUGAGCUUAUGGAUAUUAUGAGGAGUAAUUUGACAAUUGACUUUUAUUAUGGAUCUCAUAUAUACUUGGAUUAAUUAUUUUUAUUCCUAUUUUAACUUGAACACCAAGUGUUUGUGAAAAAGCCAACAUGGCAUUUUGAAUUCUUUUCUAUUCUAUUCCUACUACUUUAAUGCCUCUUUUUCACAACUCUUGCAAUCCAUAUGUAUUGAGUAUAUCAUUCACAAUUAUCAUCAUACAAGUGCUCAUUAUUUUCUUCCAUGUGAUACUUAUUAUUGAAUUUGAUGCUUGAGCUAUGCUUCUCAUGCCUCUUUCUUGCAUGCCAUAAACCCUCUUGCAUCUAAUUAUUAUGAAUUGCCUUCUUGAUCUUAAUUGAUGUCUUACCUACAUGUUGUAGCUACCAUGUAUUUAAGCUAUUAUCUUUUCUUUGGCAUUCAUUCUCACUUGGAAUUUCCUCCUUCUUGUUUUUAGUUAUCUAUAUUUAACAUUCUUCCUCUUUCUUUCUUCCUUAGGAUGGGUACCAAGAAAGAAAAAGAGAAGGCCACUGACAAGACACCGGUAAGGAAAGGCACUAAAAGAACCAUGGCUAGGGUGCCACCAUCUACAAGCGUCAAGCCGCCAACAAAGUGGGUAAAGAGGAUCAUCAAUGUUGAUGAAGCAGAGAAAGCCUUUCCUGCAAGGGACCCUGAAUGGUUCACUAACUAUUACUGUGAGCAGAUGUUCCCCAUCCUGGCUGAGAGGAACUACAACAAUGAGCAUCUACUCAUCCUUCCCACCCACUUUGUUGAUUUUGUGGAGCCCCGCAUCGAGAGGAGACAGUGGGGAUUCUUGAGGAGGCAGCCGCGGGAGGCCAAUCUUUCAUGGGUAGUGGAAUUCUACUCCAACUUUCACUUGCCGACCCUGCAGUCUGUCUAUGUUCAUCAAAAGCAAGUCCUUGUCUCCAAGGGGGCCAUUCAGAGAGUAUUGGAUCUUCCACCUGGCCCAGAGGGAUUGGACACCUAUCAAGAGGCCUUUCUCAGGUGCCAAACAUACCAGUUAGACUGGAAUAGCGUCCUUGGUGUCAUAGCACAACCUGGAAGCACAUGGAUCUACGGACAACAUCAGACUCGACCUAAGAGCAUAUCAGCUCCAGCACUUACCUUGGAGGCUCGCGUGUGGGCACAGAUUAUGUCCGACUAUGUCUUUCCGAGCACUCACGAGUCCACCUUCACUGCAAACAUGGCUGUUUCAUCUGGUACAUCCUUACAAAGCAACCCCUCAAUUUACCAAGACACAUCCAGAAGGCCAUGAGACACGUGCAGAUUGCGGGCAACCUAUCCUUUCCCACAUUGGUUUCGGAUAUAGUCUCUGCGACGAGAGUCUCCUAUAGAGUUGGGGAUACCAAGGCCAUGAUCCCAAGGGCUGACCAGUAUGUCCCGAAAGGGAAGUAUACCAGACCCCCAGUACCCUCUGCUAGCCGACAUCCCGGCCCAUCUUUAGACACUCCACCUACUUCUGCCCCACUAUCACCCACACCUCCUACACCAUCCACUACUUAAAUGUUCCUUCAGAUCCUUCAGAGGUUAGACCGGCAAGACCGGCAGAUGGAGCGAAUGGAGCACCAAUACACCUAUCUGAAGGAGCUCAUUGUUAGCACUCACCCACCUCCAGAAGAGAAGGAUACCCCGAACUCCACUUCACCGACCAGCACCGGGAGCCAUGACGAGCCCAACAGUGGAGGUGAUGCUUCUAGUCCCACCUUACUCCUUACUGAUGGCACGGAAGACCGUGCAAAGCCUUAAGUGUGGAGAGGUCAGUACCUGACUUCCGGAGGUAAUCUCUCUCUCUUAACACCAAUAUGUUAGUUUUCUUUUGUUAGAUAGGAUAAAUUGCAUGAUAAUAAUUGCUUGCAUGUAUGUUCUGCUUGGUUGAAUUAAUGAGUUUCUUUUCAAGACCCUAUUUUAGAGCAUUUCACUAAUUCAAAUUAAAAAUUUGUGUUAAACCUAUUUGAAGAUUGUAAUUUUGAACAUGGUUUAUAGCUAAGAACACACAACUUGGGAGAUUUUGAGCUUAAUUGCAUGGUUACAUUAUUUAACCAUGAUUUUUUUUCUUGUGUGUUUUCUUCUCUAUGAUUACAAUCUUUGGUUUGUUCCAUUCUAUAUGUCCAUUGUUUAGUGUAUAUUAAUACAUACAUGUGAUUGAGGCCAUCAUUUGAUAUUAGCUCACUUAUCCCAAAUAGCCUACCAUUCCAUUUACCUUUGUUUGCCACUUUGAGCCUUUUCAAUCCCCAUUUAUUCUUUAUAUUACCACAUCACUAGCCUUAAGCAGAAAAAUAAUUAAUUAUCCCAUUUGAAUCUUUGGUUAGCUUAAGAUAGAAAUUGUGUGUCAACUAAGUGUGGGGAAUUGUGGAAACUUAGGUUAAUGAGAAUGUGUUUUGUUUUUAUUGACAAAUUCUGAUAAUUUGGGUGCCUGCUCAUGUGAAACUAUAAAAACCAUAUGCAUUGAUAUGCUAUGCUUUUAUAAAAAAUAAAAAAAGAAAAAAAAGAGAAGAAAUAAGUGAAUAGGGGACAAAAUUACCCCAAUGUUAAGUCCAAUAAAAUUAUCAACGCAUAUGUGAUGAAAUUAAAGAAAAUUUGAUACAUGAGUAUGUGAAAUAUACAAAAGAGGAGUUAUGGGUAGCUAGGCAUGAUUUGAGAAUUAUAUAGAGUGUGUGUGGGUGUGUUAGGUGAGAACUUAGGUUAGUCAAAGAUUUAAAUUAUAGCUCACUUGGCCAUACAUAUAUCCUCACCCUUACCUUAGUCCCAUUACAACCUUGAAAAGACCUCAUGAUGUUUGCAUUUGUACACUAGAUAUUUGUUGAUUGGUUAGAUAAAAAACAAAGUUUUAGAAAGCAUGACUAGAGGAGACUAGAGUGGAUUAACCCUAGGCACCUGAGCGAUUAGAGUGCAUAUACACUUCCAGUGAGGGUUCAAUGCUUGAUUCUGUGUUCCUGGCUUUCAUGAACUAUCUUCUUAUAAGUUUACUUGCCUCUUUUUGUGUGAUUUGAAUUAGUGGAAUCUGAAUUUUGUUUGUCUUGGAGAACUUGUUCAAUUUUAACCAAGUAGGUAAAAACAUCUUAGCAUAUAGUUGCAUUCAUACACAUAGGUUGCAUUGCAUGAGUCUUACUUUCUCCCAUUCAAUCUUUUGGUCUCCUUGAGUUUAGCAUGAGGACAUGCUAAUGUUUAAGUGUGGAGAGAUUGAUAAACCACUAUUUUAUGGUUUAUUUUGUGCUAAAUUGAGUGGUUUUUAUCAGUUCUUUGCACACUUAUUCAUACAAACUGCAUGGUUCUACAAAUCCUUCCCAAUUUUGUUCUAUGAUUGAAAACUUGCUUCCUAAGCCUUUAAAUUGUCAAUUUUUAAUUUCCAUUUAUACCAUUCGAUGCUGUGAUCCGUGUGUUAAGUGUUUGCUUAUUUGCUUACUCUUUUAUCUUCUAUUCAGCUUGUUCAGAGUUACAUAUGGAUAUCUUUGAUUUUGAAAAGUAUUAAUGCAAGAGUUAUUUGUACAUUUAAAUUCAUCAUUUAUUUGAAUGUCAUCUUCCCUUAAUUUAUUAUUUCAAAAACAUUGCUUUUGCUAACUUAGACUCAAUGAAAGCUGUCGUUCACGUCAGGGUCCGAAGGAGAUAUAGUCACUUUGAGUCUUUCUUCUAGAUUGGGUUGGUGGUUAGUAAGGAAAGUCGGGUGUGGCGGCAAGAAGGUCAUAGCUCAACGAAAAUCCAUCCAGAAAUGACAUAGUAAGAAUCGCACUAAUCCGUGACCAGCAAGUUUUCCGAAACCAAACUGAAUAGAAUUAUGACUUUCAAAAAAUGCUUGCUGAAAAUCAAAGAAAGAAGGUCCAUUUUCCCACGU
RNAcentral lists this long non-coding RNA (28236 nucleotides) under Arachis ipaensis. Its description in RNAcentral is "long non-coding RNA (AIPA_LNC001977)". The record is from RNAcentral. Lineage: Eukaryota; Viridiplantae; Streptophyta; Magnoliopsida; Fabales; Fabaceae.